GCCCACUACUGGAACCAGUUGUUUGGCAGACUAUAGUUCUUCACCAACUCACGGAAGGCUGCCCUCUGAAUGUUUACACGAGCCUAUGCCUUACCAAUAGGUGAAAGAAUCUCUCUCAGUGUGGUAUGAUCACGUGGGAUUCCAGCGUGAGGAACGUGCUAGUUAGGAAAGUCCCAUAAGACUUGUGUCACUGCUGCACAUGUCAUGGAUCAUGGGAAAUCAUGCUUAUUGCCUUCUUUCAUGAAAAGGUCCUCUGACUCCCGUGGCACCAUCCAUUCCACGCCAUCCCCCGGACCAAAUGCUAGCAAUAAAUAAUGCUUCUUUCCCCUUUAGUAAUUUUUCCUGGUUUUUACUCUUAUCUCAAGAGAAAAAUCAUGAGGUUUUUAAAAGUGGAUUUUAGCAAAGUGUUGCCUGAUAAUGUGCUUCUUCAUUUACAAUACCAAUAGCUGGGGGUAGGAACUGGC
RNAcentral lists this long non-coding RNA (464 nucleotides) under Equus caballus (horse). RNAcentral's name for it is "lncRNA (ENSECAG00000053209.1)". The record is from RNAcentral. Lineage: Eukaryota; Metazoa; Chordata; Mammalia; Perissodactyla; Equidae.